RNAcentral lists this ribosomal RNA (253 nucleotides) under uncultured bacterium. RNAcentral describes it as "partial 16S ribosomal RNA". It matches the Rfam family "Bacterial small subunit ribosomal RNA", at positions 524 to 776 of the family's 1533-position model. The record is from RNAcentral.
UACGUAGGCAGCAAGCGUUGUUCGGAGUUACUGGGCGUAAAGGGUGUGUAGGCGGUUCUUUAAGUUUGGUGUGAAAUCUCCCGGCUCAACUGGGAGGGUGCGCCGAAUACUGAGGGACUAGAGUACGGGAGAGGAAAGUGGAAUUCCUGGUGUAGCGGUGAAAUGCGUAGAUAUCAGGAGGAACACCGGUGGUGUAGACGGCUUUCUGGACCGACACUGACGCUGAGGAGCGAAAGCGUGGGGAGCGAACAGG